Molecule: long non-coding RNA, 809 nt
Filed under: Rattus norvegicus (Norway rat)
Lineage: Eukaryota; Metazoa; Chordata; Mammalia; Rodentia; Muridae
Description: long non-coding RNA NONRATT032814
Source: RNAcentral
GGCAGACAUUCAUUCAGAAGCCAUUUCCCUCUGGAAUCCACACUCACCAGCCAGGGUCUGUGUAGGAGCCAGGGAGGCUGCCAGCAGCCAGAGCAGAUCCCUAUCUGGGAUCUGGAGAACUUCUGAACACUGAGAGUUUUUAAGAACCCAGAAACUUUGUACUAGCUUCUGCAAAAACGUGAUACCCAAUGGGCGUGGAAAUGGUCAUCACAUCAUAAGUGUCUGGGUACAAAAAUCUGACUCAGUUUAGAAGAUCAGAAAGUGAAACGUAGAGGAGAGAGUGAAUCUCCAGAGCUGUGCUUCAAUGCCACUGUCCAUUAUGCUUCACUAGGAACCUGGGACUUUAUCCUGCCUCUCCUGUUUCAGUACCAAGAGACUCCUUGUGCAAUCUCCCUCAUUCCAGUUCAAUAUUUGUCUUGAUAAGCAGUCUCAGACUUUCUUGUCUCAGGAUCUCCAUAUGCUCUUAUGAUUUAAUGAGUUUCUUCUAGGAAAAUAUGUUUUUGUGAGUCACAUGUGUAAACCGAACCUUUCAAAAUGUAUUCAGUGGCUUAAAAUAUUAACAGAUCUAUUAUGUUGACAAAAUUGUAUGAGAAAUAAUCAUUUUCCAACAAGAACAGACUGAAGUGUGGGACUUUUGAACUCUACAAGUUUGUAAGUCUUUUACUUAGGAGAAGAACCUGUUAUUCCAGAUGAAUCAUAUGAAAUAGCUUGCCUUACACAAAUUUGUAGGUGAAAUAUUUUAAUGCUGUUAUCAGAUAAUUGUGGAUACUCAUCUUUGAUACCAUAGUAAAAUAAAAAUGUAUUAAUAA